UACGUAGGUGGCAAGCGUUACUCGGAAUCACUAGGCGUAAAGCGCGGGUAGGCGGUUGGGUAAGUCUCUUGUGAAAGCUCCCGGCUUAACUGGGAGAGGUCAAGGGAAACUACCUGGCUAGAGUGCGGUAGAGGAAGCUGGAAUUCCUGGUGUAGCGGUGAAAUGCGUAGAUAUCAGGAGGAACACCUAUGGCGAAAGCAGGCUUCUGGACCGUCACUGACGCUGAUCCGCGAAAGCUAGGGGGAGCAAACAGG
This 254-nucleotide ribosomal RNA is filed under the name uncultured bacterium. Its description in RNAcentral is "partial 16S ribosomal RNA". It matches the Rfam family "Bacterial small subunit ribosomal RNA", at positions 524 to 776 of the family's 1533-position model. The record is from RNAcentral.